Long non-coding RNA from Rhipicephalus microplus (southern cattle tick), 228 nucleotides. NCBI's taxonomy places the organism in Eukaryota, Metazoa, Arthropoda, Arachnida, Ixodida, Ixodidae. The record is from RefSeq and is a predicted model, not a curated record.
AGAUAGGCGAGUUUGGAGCAGCCGGGGUGAUUUGGCGCAGGAUGGCACAGCCAGUUGAAAAACACCUAAAAAGUGAGCAACCUCGCUGGGAGCUUCUCAAAUGUGCGUGCGGCACUCACUGCGGUAUUCGAUAUGUUCGUGGCAAACUUGUCUGAACUUGCUACACCCUCAAGUAGGCAUUCGUCGUGGGACUUCGCAUGUUCCUGUGGAUGAUCUGAUUGCAAUAAA